GUCAUACUCCCUCCGUUCCAAAAUUCUUGUCUUAUAUUUGUGUGGAAAUGGAUGUAUCUAAAUACUAAAACGUGCCUAGAUACAUUCAUAUCUAGACAAAUCUAAGACAUGAAUUUCGAAACGGAGGGAGUAUUUA
Hordeum vulgare subsp. vulgare (domesticated barley) is the source of this 136-nucleotide non-coding RNA. The record is from Rfam. Lineage: Eukaryota; Viridiplantae; Streptophyta; Magnoliopsida; Poales; Poaceae.